This 384-nucleotide long non-coding RNA is filed under the name Rattus norvegicus (Norway rat). RNAcentral describes it as "long non-coding RNA NONRATT033084". The record is from RNAcentral. Lineage: Eukaryota; Metazoa; Chordata; Mammalia; Rodentia; Muridae.
CUGACCAGGGUCGUAUUAGGGUACAGAGUGAGGCCUAUGGAAUUGGCUGUCCCUUCCCUUGGGCAGAGGGGUUUGCCAGGGCCAGGCAGACAUGCACAGGGAACUUUACACAAGUCUUCAAGAGGGAAGGCUUUCUCAAACUCGUCACCCCUCAGCUGCUGAGAACUUGAGCCAGGGGAGGAGAGCAGUGGAGAAGGCAGUAACUUGUGUAGUCCUGGCUGUUCUGGAAGUCCCUCUGUAGACCAGGCUGACGUUGAACUCAGAGAUUCACCUGCCUCUGCUUCCCCACUGCUGGGAUCAAGGAUGUGUGCCAGCACCGCUGGCUAAGAGACCCUUUCCCAAAACACUGAAAACAAUAAAGUUCCCCUCCCUAGGAAUGCUGGC